RNAcentral lists this ribosomal RNA (253 nucleotides) under uncultured bacterium. Its description in RNAcentral is "partial 16S ribosomal RNA". It matches the Rfam family "Bacterial small subunit ribosomal RNA", at positions 524 to 776 of the family's 1533-position model. The record is from RNAcentral.
UACGUAGGCAGCAAGCGUUGUUCGGAUUUACUGGGCGUAAAGGGCGCGCAGGCGGCUUUGUUUGUCAGGCGUGAAAGCCCCGGGCUUAACCUGGGAACUGCGUUUGAUACGGCAGGGCUAGAGUUCGGGAGAGGAGAGUGGAAUUCCCAGUGUAGAGGUGAAAUUCGUAGAUAUUGGGAAGAACACCGGUGGCGAAGGCGGCUCUCUGCACCGAUACUGACGCUGAGGCGCGAAAGCGUGGGGAGCAAACAGG